AAAAACACGUUAAAGCAAACAAACAUUUCCCUUUAAAAGGUUCCCGUUGAGUACAACGGAUGUGAGGGGUGCUAAUACCUUCCCCUCGCAUAACCAACUCCCGAACCCAUUUCUCUACCCCUCAAGGUUUUCUCGAUAUUUUCCUUUCCCUUCUUUGGGAUAAAUAAAAUUCGGUGGCGACUCUGUUUCUUUUCGAGUGUUCACACUCGAGGAUAUUUUUCGCGCCGCGACAGCUGGCGACUCCGCUGGGGACACUAAACCUUUUGAGAGUUAAGCCUAAUUUAGUG
RNAcentral lists this long non-coding RNA (287 nucleotides) under Trifolium pratense (red clover). RNAcentral describes it as "long non-coding RNA (TPRA_LNC007405)". Lineage: Eukaryota; Viridiplantae; Streptophyta; Magnoliopsida; Fabales; Fabaceae. The record is from RNAcentral.